RNAcentral lists this ribosomal RNA (253 nucleotides) under uncultured bacterium. RNAcentral describes it as "partial 16S ribosomal RNA". It matches the Rfam family "Bacterial small subunit ribosomal RNA", at positions 524 to 776 of the family's 1533-position model. The record is from RNAcentral.
UACGUAGGGCGCAAGCGUUGUCCGGAAUUAUUGGGCGUAAAGAGCUCGUAGGCGGUCUGUUACGUCCGCUGUGAAAACCCAGGGCUUAACCCUGGGCUGGCAGUGGAUACGGGCAGACUAGAGGUAGGUAGGGGAGAAUGGAAUUCCCGGUGUAGCGGUGAAAUGCGCAGAUAUCGGGAGGAACACCGGUGGCGAAGGCGGUUCUCUGGGCCUUACCUGACGCUGAGGAGCGAAAGCGUGGGGAGCGAACAGG